CCUACGGGAGGCAGCAGUGGGGAAUAUUGCACAAUGGGCGAAAGCCUGAUCCAGCAACGCCGCGUGAGUGAUGACGUCUUUCGGUGUGUAAAGCUCUUUUUGCAGGGACGAAGAAAGACGGUACCUGACUAAGAAGCCCCGGCUAACUACGUGCCAGCAGCCGCGGUACUACGCAGGGGGCACGCGUCAGCCGGAUUUACUGGGUGUAAAGGGAGCGUAGACGGUUGUGUAAGUCUGAAGUGAAAGCCCGUGGCUCAACCGCGGAACUGCUUUGGAAACUGUAUGGCUUGAGUACUGGAGAGGCAGGUGGAAUUCCUAGUGUAGCGGUGAAAUGCGUAGAUAUUAGGAAGAACACCGGUGGCGAAGGCAGCCUGCUGGACAGAAACUGACGUUGAGGCUCGAAAGCGUGGGGAGCAAACAGGAUUAGAUACCCGGGUAGUC
Molecule: ribosomal RNA, 441 nt
Filed under: uncultured bacterium
Lineage: Bacteria
Description: partial 16S ribosomal RNA
Rfam family: Bacterial small subunit ribosomal RNA
Source: RNAcentral